GAUGAACGCUGGCGGCGUGCCUAAUACAUGCAAGUCGAGCGAACAGACGAGGAGCUUGCUCCUCUGACGUUAGCGGCGGACGGGUGAGUAACACGUGGAUAACCUACCUAUAAGACUGGGAUAACUUCGGGAAACCGGAGCUAAUACCGGAUAAUAUAUUGAACCGCAUGGUUCAAUAGUGAAAGACGGUUUUGCUGUCACUUAUAGAUGGAUCCGCGCCGCAUUAGCUAGUUGGUAAGGUAACGGCUUACCAAGGCGACGAUGCGUAGCCGACCUGAGAGGGAGAGGCGCAACAGGGAAACGGAGACGGGGCAGAGACACACAGGAGGGGCAACAGGAGGAAAUUCCCCAAAGGGGGAAAAAGCCACAGGGAGAAACGGCGCGAGAGAGAAAAGGGUUUGGAGUGCAAAAAACUCUUAUAAGGGGAAAAAAAAAAUGUAAAUGAAAAUACACACCUGGAGAGGAUAUAAAAAGAAAACCCCAGGGAAAAAUAC
RNAcentral lists this ribosomal RNA (494 nucleotides) under uncultured bacterium. Its description in RNAcentral is "partial 16S ribosomal RNA". It matches the Rfam family "Bacterial small subunit ribosomal RNA", at positions 28 to 493 of the family's 1533-position model. The record is from RNAcentral.